UUGGUACUUGGAGAGUGGUUAUCCCUGUCCUGUUCGUUUUACUCAUGUCGAAUCGUACAGGGUCAUCCACUUUUUCAGUAUCAA
This 84-nucleotide microRNA precursor is filed under the name Mustela putorius furo (domestic ferret). RNAcentral also lists the same sequence under 9 other names. The record is from RNAcentral. Lineage: Eukaryota; Metazoa; Chordata; Mammalia; Carnivora; Mustelidae.